UACCAGCUCCGCGAGUGGUCGGGACGAUUAUUGGGCCUAAAGCGUUCGUAGCCGGCCUAUCAAGUCUCUGGUUAAAUUUCAAGGCUUAACCUUGAGAGUGCUGGAGAUACUGUUAGGCUAGGGGGCGGGAGAGGUUGAGGGUACUUCACGGGUAGGGGCGAAAUCCUAUAAUCCGUGAAGGACCACCAGUGGCGAAGGCGCUCAACUGGAACGCGCCCGACGGUGAGGGACGAAAGCCAGGGGAGCAAAGGGGAUUAGAUACCCCCGUAGUCCUGGCUGUAAACGAUGCGGGCUAGGUGUUGGGUUGGCUUCGUGCCAACCCGGUGCCGCAGCGAAGGCGAUAAGCCCGCCGCCUGGGAAGUACGGCUGCAAGGCUGAA
This 379-nucleotide ribosomal RNA is filed under the name uncultured archaeon. Its description in RNAcentral is "bacterial SSU rRNA". It matches the Rfam family "Archaeal small subunit ribosomal RNA", at positions 474 to 853 of the family's 1478-position model. The record is from RNAcentral.